This 274-nucleotide long non-coding RNA is filed under the name Gossypium raimondii (Peruvian cotton). Its description in RNAcentral is "long non-coding RNA (GRAI_LNC007741)". The record is from RNAcentral. Lineage: Eukaryota; Viridiplantae; Streptophyta; Magnoliopsida; Malvales; Malvaceae.
AAUUGUGAUUCUGAAACCAUUAUUUUUGACACCACUAAAAACUGGGUGUUACAACAUGGGUGGUCUAUAUUUGUGAUGGAUGACUUAAUCACUAUUUGAUAAUGAUUGACUUUUCAUGGAGGAAGAUGUAAUUGUUACCAUGAGAUAAAAUAAAAUCAUAUUGGAGAACGAAUAUUAUCAUAAAGAGAUCAAUGAUAUCCUAUGAGGGUAUCACACUUAUGACAAAGUCAUUAGACGAACACUGAGUAGUUGCUUUUAUAAUGGUAUGUUGUUG